CAACUUUCAACAACGGAUCUCUUGGCUCUCGCAUCKAUGAAGAACGCARCGAAMUGCGAUAAGURAUGUGAAUUGCRKAAUUCRGUGAAUCAUCGAAUCUUUGAACGCACCUUGCGCCCCUUGGUAUUCCGAGGGGCAUGCCUGUUUGAGUGUCAUGUAAUUCUCAAU
RNAcentral lists this ribosomal RNA (168 nucleotides) under Fomitiporia nubicola. RNAcentral describes it as "5.8S ribosomal RNA". It matches the Rfam family "5.8S ribosomal RNA". From Rfam's summary of the family: 5.8S ribosomal RNA (5.8S rRNA) is a component of the large subunit of the eukaryotic ribosome. It is transcribed by RNA polymerase I as part of the 45S precursor that also contains 18S and 28S rRNA. Functionally, it is thought that 5.8S rRNA may be involved in ribosome translocation. Lineage: Eukaryota; Fungi; Basidiomycota; Agaricomycetes; Hymenochaetales; Hymenochaetaceae. The record is from RNAcentral.